AACGGAUUAGAAGAAUACAAUGGCUUGUGUCCACGUUCAACCAACACGGAGAAAUGCGUGAAUGAGUGGAUAUUAAGACCGACCAAGACCCUCGUAGGAUGAUGCAUUACAUGUUCAAAAUUGUUUUGAUGGUUGUAAUCGCAUAGUUUUUGUAUUCUAGUUGUUUUAAUUGUUUGUGUUAUUUUUUAUGAACAACUGUCUUUUCG
Molecule: long non-coding RNA, 206 nt
Filed under: Lathyrus oleraceus (garden pea)
Lineage: Eukaryota; Viridiplantae; Streptophyta; Magnoliopsida; Fabales; Fabaceae
Description: Pisum sativum (pea) long non-coding RNA (PSAT_LNC004517)
Source: RNAcentral